CACGGACGCACGGACGCGCGGACGCCGGAGCCCGCCCCGAGCAUGUGGAAGCUGGGCCGGAGCCGGGUGCUCCUGGACGAGCCCCCCGAAGAGGAGGACGGCCUGCGGGGGGGGCCGCCGCCUGCCGCCGCCUCCGCUGCCGCCGCGGUGCAGAUUCAGGGAGCAAGUUUCCGAGGCUGGAAAGAUGUGACUUCUCUGUCUUACAAGGAUGAUGAACAGCACCUGCUGGAAAGGCGCAGACCCCCCAAAUCCAGAGGAACAAAUUUACGAUUAAAAGAAGAGUUGAAGACUGAGAAGAAAUCUGGAUUUUGGGACAAUUUGGUUUUAAAACAGAAUACACAGACCAAGAAACCAGAUGAGAUUGAAGGUUGGGAGCCUCCAACACUUGCCCUUGAGGAUGUGGCAGCUGACUCAGGGGACACAGAGAGUGACCGUCUGUCCCGGCCAGGUUGGGAGGAGGGCGCCAAGGGCUCCAAGUACACCAGCCUGGCAGGUGCCGGGAACAGCUCCCGCUGGAGCCUCAGGUCGGCCGGGAAGCUAGUCAGCAUCCGCCGGCAGAGCAGAGGCCACCUGACGGACAACUGGGAGGAGCUGGAGUGACGGUGUUCGUGGACGGCGCAGCUUCCAAGUAUCAAACCAAAAUCUGCCUAGUUUUGCACUUUUGUAUCUCAUUUCACUCAGAUUCUUAGAGUUUGCCGUAUCAUGGUGAUUUUUUAGUAGUGCAUCCAGUUGUUUGGUCUUUCCCCUGUGAAGAGAGCAGGGAAUCUGCUCUGAGCUGUUUCAUUUUUUGACUGUCCUUUUCAUAUGCUGAUUUAGGGAAUUCCCAGCAUCCUGUGAUUCCGCGGACCGCACAGCGACUGCCUUACCGCGGAAACACCCACUCCCUGUCGUUCUCGCUGCUGAAAAUGGAGACAUGAGGCGUUGACGCUGUCCUGGGAUGACUGCAGUUCUCCACAAAACCGUCUUCCCGCGUCCUCGGUCGUGCUUCUCUGCUCCUGACUUGACACCUUCUCUGCAUGUAGCACCUGUGUAGAGUCUACGACACAAGAAUGUAGCGGUUGUGCAAUUCCCUUCUGUUGCCAGAAAUCAGCAGUCCAGGUGUAGAAUCAAUCUUCCAGAGUUAUGUUACACUGUGUUUAACCUGGCAGACUAAACUCUUCUUUUGUAUUAAAUUUAAAAAUAUGUAAGUCAUUUGAAAACUGCAGAAGCCAAGGCUGUGCUGGACCCAGCACGAAAUGCCACCACUACCUGCAGACGCAGCUUCGUCUCCUGCCUCCAGUGUGUGUGUCAGGUGGUGACGGUGGUUCAUUCUUAUUUACUUCUCCUGAACUUUUGAAUAUUGAUCUUUAUUUUCUUCUAAAAACUUGUUCUCCAUUUUUGAUCGCAGAUUAAAGAAUGCUAUAAAGCACGGAUCAGUUUUAGUAACUGGACACAAUUUUGUUUGGGAAAUACGGACUUGCUCGUCAUGGAGUUAUGACUGUAUAAAAUGCUGGAAGUGCCUCUCUCCUGCACACCCAGGGUUUUGUUUCCCUUUGAUGAGAGACUGAGGUUGCUGCUGGAGCCCUGGGCUGCCACACGGUAGCACCACCCCCUCCUGUGUCUCUAGACUUGAACUGUGUCCUUGACCGAGUGACCUCAUGUCAGGUACCCAGGCAUGUGUCUCCGCGGCGGGACAGCUCAGAGCCACAGGAGCACGGGUCUGUCUUAGGUAACGGAGGUUCUGCGAGAAGUUACAGGUUUCUUUGGUUAAAGCCUCCAGUUACACUGUGCGCUCUUCUCAUAAAAAAGGCUGCCCUCCGGUUGUUCCCCGAGAGUGUCUAUGCUGUUCCGUUUAAGGGGCGUCGUGGGCUUUCCCACGGGCUCCGGAGGGGGACAGAGUCAUUACCAUCUGUCAGUCCAUCUGCCUGUGUCUCCGUAUCAUCUCUUGUUUUAACAGAACAAGAAGUUUACUUCACCGAGCCCUGGACGGGGAACAUGUUUUUGCGUGAUUUCCGGCGUCUGCACCUGAUGACUUGGGGACCAGUGCUGCGGCCCCGUCUCCGCACUCCCAGCCUCACUUCUGGUGAUGACACGCAGAGGAGCCCGCAGACCACCCUCAUGGCAAACAGCGCGAGUCCUUGUCCAGCAGCUCCGUCGUGUUCGCACGAGGAUGGGCCACACAGGAAGGUGGGUGCUGGCCCCAUGUCUGUGCCCUGGGCUGGCGGUGCGGCCCCGGCCAGUGCUGCAGGAAGUGGGCCACCACCAUCCGAGGUGAGAGUGGCCCGGGGCACGUCUCACCCGGCACAGACGAGACCAGCCCGAGUCUGCCCGAGACUGGACAUGGCCUAGAGGGACAGCCACUGCAGCUCGUCCAGCUGCCCAGGUCCAACGGGACUUGGCAGUGAGACUACGUGCAGAUGAAGGAAGGACGCCAUCAUCUGAGUUCCUGCAUUUUGGUUCCCAAAGUGGAAACUCCAGUGGGAAAAACAUCCCAGGUGAGGAGCCAAUCUGACUUCCUGAGAAAACCCCGAGUUUAGAACGGGAAGUGCUUCAACAGAGGACAGGCGAGUGGCUGGCGUGCGGCGAGGGCACCCGCGCACCACGAGGGACCCAGGGAGCCUGCUGGCUCGUGCUCAGCGAGGGUGGGUGGUGGGGCCACCGCUGCCCCUGUUCACGGGUGUCCAAGUGAGCUGAAACCAGGCCACACCAGGAUCUGACAUUGGUGGUUAGGCCGGACAGAUAGGCUCUCUGGUGACCUGCCUCCUCUAACCUCCCCGUGGGUGGGGGAGAGGGGCAGGGUCACUUUAAUUACAGCGAAGCUUCAGGGAGGCCCAGGCCGGCGAGCAACCAGAUCCAGCAGGAGCGCACAGCUCCAAUUUAACCAGUGUGCAGAACCCAUGUGGGCCGGCAAAAGCCAGGCUGGUGCCCCUGGCCCCGGGGGUCACAGGUGCAGCAUGGACAGCAACCGUGGGAUGGGCAGGCGACCCCUUCCACGGCCUGGGGAGCUGUUUGUCCGGGCCAAGCACAUGGCACAGUGACCCCAAACCCACACUUGGUUGGGGCCCAUAGGGAAGUCACUGGGCAGCUACCCAGAGCUGGACCCCUCCCUGACUGCAGCCCCGAGGGUGCAUCAAAUCACCAGAAAUAGAAGGUGCCUCAUCUGCUUCCCCAUCUGAGCCCACCUGGAACAUCAGCUACUGGUCCGAUGCAUGGUCUGGUGUCAGCUCACCUGCACACCUGUGAACCAGGGGAAAACCAGACAUCCUCACGCAAGAGAAUGAGGUUGGGCCCUUCCUUACCCCAGAUGCAAAAACUAACUCAAAACAGAUCAAAGACCUAACAGCUACGAUUAUAAAAGGCUUAGAGGAAGCAGGGUGGAAGCUCAAGGCACUGGACUUGCCCGUGAGUGCCUGGGUGUGACCAGGAGGCACAGGCCUCGGCCCACAUCCAGGUGCGAGCCCUGUGCGUAAGAGGGCACUGCCAGCAGAGCGGAACGCAGCCUCGGGAAGGCGAGGAGUCGUUUUCAAAUCGUGUCUGAUGAGGUAACACACACCCAGAGCUGUAGCGGUUCCUUCUAUAUUUAACAGAAACACAUAAAACGCGACUUAAAUUGGACUUGAAUAGACAUUUCCCCCAAGUGAGACCCACAAAUGGCCAACAGGCACAGGAAGCUGCUUAAACCUCACUCUUCCCCAGGGAGACACAGCUCACAGCCACAGUGAGAUGUCACAUCACCAUCCGGAUGACCACCAAACCAAAAACCUCCACAAAGUCCGUGCUCGUGAGGAUGCAGAGAAAUUGAACCCUUGCACACUGCUGGCAGGAAUGUAAAAUGGUGCCGCCACUGUGAAAAAGUGGCAGUUCCUGAAAAUAUUAAACAUACAAUUACCACGCGAUCCAGCAAGUCCACUUCCAGGUAUGAACCCAAAGGAAAGAAAAUCAUUUUGUAGAAGAGAGAUUUGUAGACCACGUUCACAGCAGCCAAAAGGUGAAAGCAACUCAAGUGCAUCCACAGAUGAGGGAUGAGCUUAGCCUGGUCCACGGCGGAGCACCUCGCAGCUUGUGAGGGAAGGCGGUCCUGACCCACGCUACCACGGGCGGGAAGGAGAUGCCGUAUGGUUCCAGGUACACAUGCGUCUACAGGAGUCAGAUCCACCGAGACAGAGAAGACGGGGGCCUAGGGAUGCAGGAGGAGGGCAGGGAGUGAGUGUGUAACAUGCUGAUCGCCCACUGUGGAUCAGGUGCCCCUGAGGAAACACAGGUGUCGCCUAGAUUUGGGGGACGUGGCGAUCAAGGUGUUCAUGGGGGACAAGUUCAGUCUGCAAAGAUGAGAAGUAUUCUGGAGAUGAUGGUGGUGAUCUUUGCACAGCAAUACAAAUGAGCUUAACACUACUGAAGAAUUCACUGAAACAUGGUUAGGAUGGUAAAUUUUAUGUGUAUUUUACCAUAAUUAAAAUUAAGUGACAUCUGAAUUUUCUAUGUAGAUUAAACAGUAAAAAGCUACUUGCAUUCAUCUGUGCAAAUUUCAUCCAAACAGCACAGUCGGGGUGUCUCUCUCGUAUGGCUCGGAAGGUCUUGAGCAGGAGGAACGACGGUGUGUGCUGAGGAGCUCACCGCCCUGAGCGCGAGGCAGAGAAGCCAGGCGGCGGGUGAAAGCCGCGGCCCGUCCUGGGCUGGCUGUGCUCUGAGCACUGCGUUCUCGCUGGGGGACUGAGUCAGUGGGAAGUGAGGGGGUGAGGGAGGGGCAACAGCCCUCCGAAAGGUCACGCCUGAGACACGCAUGAGCCCACGGAGUAGCCGGACAGCAAGGACCCCGCCCACACACGGGGGUGAGCCGCAGGUGCCCCUGCUGGAGGGGAGGGCCCACUGCACUGGCCACAGCUCCGGUCAGGACGGGCUGGCGCAGCCUCUCUUCAGGUGCACACGGCACCGUCCCAGCCAGGAUUCUGGGAGACACUGAGCUCAGUCACAGGGACCCCACUGCUUCCUGAAAGUGAGGGCCUGCUCCCUCUGUAGGAACGACAGAGGACGGAGCAGGGAGGCAGGCUGAGAAAGAGUGUGACGCUGGGUGUUGGCAGGUCCCAGGGCCCCUCCCAGGUCUGCAGACCCUGGGCAUCUCACAGUGGGGUGGGGGUGGGGCGUGCUGAUGCUGCGCUCGCUUGGGAUACAGGUGGGAGUGAGGGAGUAGGGCUGUGCGUCUCCUCACAUGGUUAGUGAAGGAAAUAAUGUCAUGAGCCAAGAUAUCAUCUGCCUUGAGAACUGCAGUUCCAGAGGACAGCAUGUCCUUCUGUAACUCUGGGCACAGCAGCACAGGUUAAGCUUACAGCCAUUAACCACCAGGUCAGGCCCCAUAAUGAAGCAAAAGAGCUUUAACCAGGGCCCAUGUUCACUCGGACAGAAGUGCUUAUCCUGUUAAAGGCAAAGGACUUUCCAAAAGGGGGACACGACUACAAUGAAAACGAAAGUUUCACUCAGGAAGUUCAGUCUCCCGUGUAUUACCCUAAUGUUUAAAGGAGGGCCUGCACCAAUCGUCCACAAACUUCCUAAAGACAGCAGGGGUGGGGACCCUCCCAAGGCGAGCCCGUCCUAUGAGACUGUUCACCCUGAUGCCAAAACCAAAGACGUCACCAGAAAAGCACAGAUUCAUCUCUCUGGUGAAAACUCAGUAAAACCCAGUAAACUAAACCCACCAACGGUGUGCAGAAGCCACAUGGGACAUGGGUCUGGGCAGGCAGGGUUGGUUUGACAUACAAAAGUCAAUCACAAGACCAACUCAGUAGCUGCAGAAAAAGCACAUCUCAAAAUCCAACACUUUCAUGAUAAAAGAGAAAAACCUCAACAAGGCAGGACUGGAAGGGAACACCUCACCCUGAUGAGGGCAUCCAUGGAAAUGCCCAGUUAGCACCACCCUCAUGGGUGAAGGCCGAGAGCGUCCUAGGAUCACGAACAUACAGGACACAUGUGCACUGCCUCACCGUGCACAGGAGGGCCUGGCAGGAAAGCUGGCAAGGAACAGAAACAGCAACCACCUUUGUGUGCAGACGACAUGAUGUGUGUGUCUCCUCCUAAGGAACCUACAGAAAUACCACUAGAUUUAGUGACUUCAGCACAGCUGUGGGAUAUAAAGUCAGUGUACAAACAUCUCACGUCAGCAUUUUGUUUGUAUAUGAUUCUAAAAGCUUUUACAAGCAAGUUACACAGAUCCUUCCACACUGUCCCUCGAGAAGAGACGGUUCUCCACGGAUGGCCCUGGGCAGCAAACACACACAACACAGAUGCUGUAAGAGUCCAGAGCAGCCCCUGAACCUGCAGAACCCACUGUGGCUCCCGACGCACACCCAGCUGAGACGAGGGCCUUUUUCUACCUCGAAAGGCGGAAGGAGAUGUGGCGGUGCCUUCGGGGUGGCUCUGGGCAGAGCCUGAGGCCCGCUCCCUGUUGUCCUGAGAGCCGGCCCUGCCCUGGUCCGCACACAUCAAGGUGGCAACGCCUGUGCAGCCCUUGUCAGGCAGGCCCCCUGACCGCCCCGCCCUCAUAAGCCCCAUGUGAACGCACAGCUCAGGACCGUUCGUUCCUCUUGUUUCUCUUCCUGCUUGGUGCUGCUGUCGGAGCUCCUGUGAAUGGCUGGUCCGGGCUCGGGCGCUGUCCCUCCCUCAUUCUAUCAGCACCCACACCAGCUACCAGCGCCACCCGGCCUCACUCACCUGCCCGUGUGCAGCGCUGGCUCCCAGCGCAUCUGUUGCCCGUGGGACAGCUGGACUCCUCUCCCAAGACUGUGAACAUUAUUUGGAGAAAAGAAGUCAACUUCAGUAGGUUAAUGCCUGUUAAGGAGAAAUUAAUACCAAAAAACCAACACCCCAAAAGUAAAACAGGCAGAGAACACACAUUAGGUCCAACCUCACAGCCAUCUUCUUGUGCCCACCUUCAGGGAAGAAAGGUGACAGUGUCCAUCCUGCCAGUGGUCUGGAAAUACCCUUAACAAAUACUGGAUGCUUCUCCUGCAUUCUGCUUCUCGCUUAUCUUACGGAGACAAUCAGAUGCACAAAAGCACAUGUACCGUGGUACUUAUCACAAAAUGACAGGCACUGUUCCAUCUGUGUGAUACCAUCUAUCUAAUAAAAACCAUAUUUUCAUGCUUUUGAAAAAAGGGUAGUUAUUAAAUGAAAACAGUAUAUUCAGUGCUUAUGGUUCAAGCCUUCACUCAGACACACACACACACACACACACACACACAGAACCUAUUGUUUGACAAUGAAGCAUAUUCUUGGCUGUUAGUGUCAGUUCAGCAUAGAACGUGGUGCUGAAAAUACAGAACCUUUAUGUAAAUUUGUAAAACUGCACAUUUGCACGUGCUCUGAAGGAGGCAGAAAUGAUCUUGCUCGGGUCCUGACCCUAUUCAGUCUCCCCUGCAGCUGCCAGGGCCACUGCUCCAUUUCUGGGUGGCAGGGUUAUGCAUGAGUUUUGUUUUCUUUUAUAUGCUUAUAUAAAAAAAUCAAAAAUAAAAUCAUUAAUGCUACUUUUUUCAGUUAAGAUGCAAAAUGACAAAGUUAAAAUCAGUAAACAUGAUUUAUUACUUUGCCUAUAAAAGUGGUUUUAGAGCAGUGAAGUGAGGCUGCACUGGGCUGUUCUGACUGGGUUGAGACCCCAGGGUCAGCAGAGAGCAGGGCCAUCCCUGCAGUGUCUGCUGUGAGCCCAGGACCACAGCCCACCACCAAACACAUCUCCCCAGGUUCCUUCUGCAUCAGGGAGGGUUCAUCUGGAUACAAUCAAUACAGUUAAAAUACAUCUUAGGAAAAAUAAAUAUUCUGUGCAGUGUCCUUACAAGAAUCAAUGCUCUGUAUCUACCCCCAAUUACUACAAAAUCGAGAAACUAUCAUUUAACAGUUUAGAAGCAUAUUAUGGGCUGUUAGUGUUAAUUCAGCACAGAAAUGUGCUGAAAGUAUAGAAUCUUUUUUGAACCACAUUCACAAAUAUGCAAAGUUGCAAAUUUUAAUGUG
Molecule: RNA transcript, 7974 nt
Organism: Camelus dromedarius (Arabian camel)
Lineage: Eukaryota; Metazoa; Chordata; Mammalia; Artiodactyla; Camelidae
Gene: TDRP
Gene name: testis development related protein
Exons: 5
Source: RefSeq, a predicted model, not a curated record